RNAcentral lists this ribosomal RNA (253 nucleotides) under uncultured bacterium. RNAcentral's name for it is "partial 16S ribosomal RNA". It matches the Rfam family "Bacterial small subunit ribosomal RNA", at positions 524 to 776 of the family's 1533-position model. The record is from RNAcentral.
AACGUAGGUGGCAAGCGUUAUCCGGAUUUACUGGGCGUAAAGCGUGUGCAGGCGGGGGAACAAGUGGUGUAUGAAAUGGCUCGGCUCAACCGGGCGAGGUUAUGCCAGACUGUUCUUCUAGAGUGCGAGAGAGGGGCAUGGAAUUCCGGGUGUAGUGGUGAAGUGCGUAGAGAUCCGGAGGAACCCCAGAGGCGAAGGCGGUGCCCUGGCUCGCAACUGACGCUCAGACACGACAGCAUGGGGAGCGAACGGG